This 427-nucleotide ribosomal RNA is filed under the name uncultured bacterium. RNAcentral's name for it is "partial 16S ribosomal RNA". It matches the Rfam family "Bacterial small subunit ribosomal RNA", at positions 355 to 774 of the family's 1533-position model. The record is from RNAcentral.
UGGGGAAUAUUGCACAAUGGGCGCAAGCCUGAUGCAGCCAUGCCGCGUGUAUGAAGAAGGCCUUCGGGUUGUAAAGUACUUUCAGCGAGGAGGAAGGUGUUGUGGUUAAUAACCGCAGCAAUUGACGUUACUCGCAGAAGAAGCACCGGCUAACUCCGUGCCAGCAGCCGCGGUAAUACGGAGGGUGCAAGCGUUAAUCGGAAUUACUGGGCGUAAAGCGCACGCAGGCGGUCUGUCAAGUCGGAUGUGAAAUCCCCGGGCUCAACCUGGGAACUGCAUCCGAAACUGGCAGGCUAGAGUCUUGUAGAGGGGGGUAGAAUUCCAGGUGUAGCGAUGAAAUGCGUAGAGAUCUGGAGGAAUACCGGUGGCGAAGGCGGCCCCCUGGACAAAGACUGACGCUCAGGUGCGAAAGCGUGGGGAGCAAACA